UAAAUUAGAGACGGACGUAAACACAUGCAUAUUAUAGGGCUCUAUUCAGUUUGACUGUGAAAAAAACCCCAUAAUUUUUAAUUAACUUUAGCAAUAUAUACACACUUUGAUAAAAUACAUGUAUAAAAAUGAUAUGCCCUAGCUUGAAGGUAUGUAUUCACACAAAUUUAUUUCAUUUUAAUAAUUAAUAAUAAAUUUAUUUUUAGAUGUACCAAUACAGUUCGAACUAUGAAAAUAAAGAUGAAAAGAUACAUUGAGAAUUCAUUUUCAGUAAAAAGCAGAACUGUGACACAGGAGCAUCACCUGUGAAAGGUUACAAAUGAUACAAAUGACACCAAUAAAGGAUAUAUGAGCAACUGUUAUAUACCAGAAACAGGAGGCAGUUACAAAAUUAAUAAACAAAGACAGAAAACUUGCAAGUGAUCCUGCAUGAGAACUGAACUCCAGACAGUAUCGUUACCAAACAGUAUUCUUUUGGAGGGAAUUCUGUUUAAAGAAAUUGGAGGUCAGAAGUUUUGAAGUUUGUGAUGGGAAAAAGUCGAAGAUGAUUAUUUCAAGUGUCACUUUUUAAACCCACUUUCUUCACUGGACAGCCAUAACACCACAUACAGCAAAACUCGUUUAGUACAAACACGGAUAUUGUGAAUUUACGGAUAAAGCGAAGUCAUCUUGGAUCCCCAACUAUAUAAAUUUAAAACAUUCCUUAUACAGAUGUAAUAAAUAACAGAUAUAGCAAAGCAAUUUCGA
This is a long non-coding RNA of Saccostrea cuccullata (small rock oyster), 747 nucleotides long. RefSeq lists it as uncharacterized. The record is from RefSeq and is a predicted model, not a curated record. The transcript is spliced from 4 exons. NCBI's taxonomy places the organism in Eukaryota, Metazoa, Mollusca, Bivalvia, Ostreida, Ostreidae.